This 3520-nucleotide long non-coding RNA is filed under the name Lactuca sativa (garden lettuce). RNAcentral's name for it is "long non-coding RNA (LSAT_LNC009460)". The record is from RNAcentral. Lineage: Eukaryota; Viridiplantae; Streptophyta; Magnoliopsida; Asterales; Asteraceae.
UAUAUAUAUAUAUAUAUAUAUAUAUAUAUAUAUAUAUAAACGUAUGUUGAUUUCUAUAUAUUCUUUUUGUAUGAUUUAUAAAUGUUAAAUAAUGUGUUUGAUAUAAAUGUGAUAAUAGAUGUAGUAUUUUUAUAUUAUUAAACAUUAUAUUAUUUUUAUACUAUUUGUUAUUCAUUAUAUAAAGAAAUCAACAUAUGUUUUAUAUACAAUUUACACAACUUAAAAUGGUUUAAAAAAUCAUCAAAAAUUAUAAUAUAUAUUUUUUCAUACUAAUUUUUUAUUUGUUAUAUAUAUAAAUCAACAUACAUUUGAUAUACAGUUCACAAAACUUAAAAUGAUCUAUAAAAGUAUCAAUUGAUAGUAGAAAUAACCAAUGAUAUAAAAAUAUGACAGUUAAUAACUGUUAAUAAAACCAAUAGUUAACUAAAGGUUUUGUUUUGCUAAUGAUAUUGUUUUUUAUAUAUAAAUAUUAAAUCAUAAUUUGUUAAAAUUUAUUAUUUUAAUUAAAUAAUUAUAUAUUCGCGCAACGCAAAGGUCGCCUUGUAGAAUUAUAUUAUAAGGUAAAAAAUACAUAUAUUUUAUUAUUCAUCGUCGUCUUUGAUCAUUAAUUACUAUAAUGUUUAAACAUUAAGUUGUCUAUGUUAUCACAUUAUUCAAAAUAAUGAUAAUGUUUUACAACAACAUUUCAAUUUAGUUUAGAAAAAAAAUUAUUUCAAAGUUAAUGACAAUGACUCAUUUUUAACGAAAUAUAUUUGUUAUAAUUUUGACUAUUUAACUAUAUUCAUGCGCGAAUAUUCAUCUAGUAAACAAAACAAAUAGGCGACAAUAAAUAUAGUAUCUUUGUAAAAGCAAAAUAAAUGAUUGAUAUUUUUCUAUAUUUGUAUUUCAUGACCUAUUUUUCUUGUCUGUAUUCAUAAUCAAAUAUACUACAAAUAAGUAUUUCAUGAAGGUUAAAUAGUUGUCGAAAAUUAAUAUUUUGUAUGAUUUUUUAAAACAAUUCAAAAAAUACCGAGUUUGGAAAAGCCUGUUUCCAAAAUCCAGUUUGCAACUUUACACCAAAAGCUGAUUAUGACAAACUAACUUGGUAAUUGGUUUUUCUAUAUCUACUGAUGCACACAUGUGAAGUGAAGUGUAUGGUUCAUACAUGAUGCAUCAAAUUUGUUCUAGUCAACAUAACCUUUUCCAACAAAAAAAAUCCAAAAUCAUGUUAAGAGAACACGAAAAAUCAUUUAUACAAUACAUGUUAUGGUUUUAAUCCUAAAGCUAGUUAUAUAAAACUACAACCAAGUUGUUCACGACACCAAUAACUAGAGUGGCAUACACAUGUACUUCCAUUCAUAUAACUACUUAUAAUAUACUUUCUAAAUCAGGUCGACAAUUCAUCAUCCACUUUUUAGAUAAACAACAAGAAUGACUAAAUAACCCUCCCAAAGUUAUGUAAUACAACAAAGGGUCUUCAUGUUUGCAAUAUAACAAAGUUAUGUAAUACAACAAAGUUAUGUUGCAACAAUUUGAGGAAAACAUUGUGAUGGAUCAUCCCUAUUGCAUGUUGCAACAUAUUAUUAUUGCUUCAAUUAUGUCAAGUUCCUUUGUGGCAUCCAUAGCAUGUAUUUUUAAAUGCUGAUGGGAGUUCACCUGCAUUAAGAAACAACAUAUUUUUGAAAGCAACUAAUUAUCCGCUUGCAAAAGAGCUCAAUAGCCUCGUCAUCUAAUAAACUAAUAGUGUAUAUCACGUCUACUUUGUAAGCAUUUAAGAAAUGAUUAUCUCUAGUUUUGGUUAUUAUUGGCUUCAUUCAUCAAACCAAAUAUGUGAUGGUCAAUAUGAUCCAUAUCAUUAAGAACAAGCAACACAAUUCUGUAGUGAAACCUAUUAAUUAUAAAGCAUCAUCCUGCUUUAACUCUGUUUAUUUCCAUUUAUUUUCGUUUCAAAAUGUUUAAAGGCUUUUUUUUUCUUACAACUUUUCUAAACGAUACAUGCUUGAGUCGUCUAAAAUUCCUUCAACAAUGCAGCAACCAUCAAACUUGCUAGAUAUUUCACUAUAUGAAAAUACAUCAACCAUCAAUCAUACGCACACCAUUAAUAACUUUCAUUUCAAAUGUUGUUGCGAGCUUCUAUUCUACGCGGGUGUUAAUUUACGGUUGUAAGUUGAAAUUAUAUCAAUUUCUUUGAUGCACUUUGAUCCAUGCCUACAUAUUGGAUAUACAAGGAUAAUAAACAUAUGCUCACAUUGACAAAUGGAGGUAAUUUGUUUCAUGUUUUAUAAAAUAAAGUGUUCACAUUCAAACACACACACACACACACACACACACACAUAUAUAUAUAUAUAUAUAUAUAUAUUGUAAAACACACAAUCCUAAGCAUAAAAGUGCAAAAACAAAGAAGAAAAUCACUCUAUGGCACAUACUUGAGUUCUCAUGCAGAGAGGUUACUUGCAUCCACAAGUGCUUUUCUCCAAGUUUCAACUUUGUUUUUGUUCUCUAACUCAUGUUUGACAAAUGUUUCUCUGUAUUUUCUUUUGUAUUUUCUUUUUGAUUUCGUUAGUAUAUAAGAUCCGCAUCAUAAAAUAUUGGGAUGACAAUUUAAAAGAUGGGGAUAACAAUCUGCCCACUUGUAUCCUUGCACUUCAUAAUAUAUGCAAGUUCAUCCGGAUACCACUAUGAAUCUACAUAGUUUUUAGAGAAUACGAUGACGACAAUCGGUGAUUCCACGGAAUAGCCUUCAUAAGGGAUAGACCGAUCAGUUCACCUUAAGGAAAUGUCUUUUCAUCCUCGUAAGUGUAGAUUCCUUGUUGUACAAGAGCUGCGUAGAAAUGAUCCACAAAAGUCUUGCGAGUAUCAUUUCUUUUAAAACUGAGAAAAACAUCACGAUUCCACGAUUCACAAGAAAAUACCGGAGCCAAAAAAGAAGAUAAUGAUGAAGAUGACAUUGAUGGGUGCAUUUGUUUAGAUAGACCAUAAGUAGAGCACCUGGAUGAAAUGAAAUGAAGUAAAUAUCAAGAGCUAUGAGCUUCCAAAGAAAUUUGCAAUUUAAAAGAGAAGCUCAAAAAUAAAAAGGUAUCGUUGAAAUUUUUAAUAAAGCUACCAGAGUUGCUUUCCCAUUGAUAUUUAUCGAAAUCAAAUGAUAUUUUCAAUAAAGCUAGCAGAGAUGCUUCAAGAAACAUGUGUAACUUUAUGAUAAAACAGAAGAAAACAAGACAGGUGUAAUUCACAAGAUUUGCAUUGAAAUGGCAUAAAACACGAGUCUUGGACACAGUUGUGUUUUAAAAGGUCAACCAAAAAGAACCCACAAAUACUCUUAUGUAAAUACUCUAUACUCGACCUCAAAAAAUAUCUGUAUAUCCACUUCCAAUAAAAUUAGGGAAAGAACCCAAUAAAGUUAAACAGAUCUGGAAGCACCCAAAUUAGGAAAGCAUAAUGAAGAAGUUUCUAUCAAAAGAAUUUCAAGAGCAAUAUAACUGGGGUGCAAAAAAUUAAUAGUGGACUCCAAGAUUCAAAUGGAAUACCAUUCAAAUAAUAAAAC